AGACUGGGAUAACUCCGGGAAACCGGGGCUAAUACCGGAUGGUUGUCUGAACCGCAUGGUUCAGAAAUAAAAGGUGGCUUCGGCUACCACUUACAGAUGGACCCGCGGCGCAUUAGCUAGUUGGUGAGGUAACGGCUCACCAAGGCGACGAUGCGUAGCCGACCUGAGAGGGUGAUCGGCCACACUGGGACUGAGACACGGCCCAGACUCCUACGGGAGGCAGCAGUAGGGAAUCUUCCGCAAUGGACGAAAGUCUGACGGAGCAACGCCGCGUGAGUGAUGAAGGUUUUCGGAUCGUAAAGCUCUGUUGUUAGGGAAGAACAAGUGCCGUUCAAAUAGGGCGGCACCUUGACGGUACCUAACCAGAAAGCCACGGCUAACUACGUGCCAGCAGCCGCGGUAAUACGUAGGUGGCAAGCGUUGUCCGGAAUUAUUGGGCGUAAAGGGCUCGCAGGCGGUUUCUUAAGUCUGAUGUGAAAGCCCCCGGCUCAACCGGGGAGGGUCAUUGGAAACUGGGGAACUUGAGUGCAGAAGAGGAGAGUGGAAUUCCACGUGUAGCGGUGAAAUGCGUAGAGAUGUGGAGGAACACCAGUGGCGAAGGCGACUCUCUGGUCUGUAACUGACGCUGAGGAGCGAAAGCGUGGGGAGCGAACAGGAUUAGAUACCCUGGUAGUCCACGCCGUAAACGAUGAGUGCUAAGUGUUAGGGGGUUUCCGCCCCUUAGUGCUGCAG
Molecule: ribosomal RNA, 732 nt
Filed under: Bacillus amyloliquefaciens
Lineage: Bacteria; Bacillati; Bacillota; Bacilli; Caryophanales; Bacillaceae
Description: bacterial SSU rRNA
Rfam family: Bacterial small subunit ribosomal RNA
Source: RNAcentral